Molecule: ribosomal RNA, 494 nt
Filed under: uncultured bacterium
Lineage: Bacteria
Description: bacterial SSU rRNA
Rfam family: Bacterial small subunit ribosomal RNA
Source: RNAcentral
UACGGAAGGCAGCAGUGGGGAAUAUUGCACAAUGGGCGCAAGCCUGAUGCAGCCAUGCCGCGUGUAUGAAGAAGGCCUUCGGGUUGUAAAGUACUUUCAGUCGUGAGGAAGGUGUUAAGGUUAAUAACCUUAGCAAUUGACGUUAGCGACAGAAGAAGCACCGGCUAACUCCGUGCCAGCAGCCGCGGUAAUACGGAGGGUGCGAGCGUUAAUCGGAAUUACUGGGCGUAAAGGGCACGCAGGCGGUUAAUUAAGUUGGAUGUGAAAUCCCCGGGCUUAACCUGGGAAUGGCAUUCAAGACUGGUUAGCUAGAGUCUUGUAGAGGGGGUAGAAUUCCAUGUGUAGCGGUGAAAUGCGUAGAGAUGUGGAGGAAUACCGGUGGCGAAGGCGGCCCCUGGGACAAAGACUGACGCUCAUGUGCGAAAGCGUGGGGAGCAAACAGGAUUAGAUACCCUCUGAAGACUAACCCAAAGGGCAACAACAAGGGGAAUAGG